GGAUGUGAGGGCGAUCUGGUUGCGACAUCUGUCACCCCAUUGAUCGCCAGGGUUGAUUCACUGAUCUGGCUGGCUAGGCAGGUGUCCCCCUCCUCCCUCACCGCUCCACAUGCGUCCCUCCCGCAGCUGCGCUCUCAGUCGGAGAGGACGACCAUCCCUGCUAGAGGAGGACCGGUCUUCGGUCAAGGGUAUACGAGCAGCUGUGCUCCCCUGCUAGAACCUCCAAACAAGCUCUCAAGGAACAUACCCAAUAGAAAUGAAAUCUGCAUAUGGGAAGGGGACCUGUAAUCCUAUAUUGCAGCAGCACAAUCUACAAUAGCAAAGACAUGGAAACAAUCCAGAUGU
Unclassified non-coding RNA from Ochotona princeps (American pika), 345 nucleotides. Its record names the gene 7SK. It matches the Rfam family "7SK RNA". Rfam says of the family: 7SK was discovered as an abundant small nuclear RNA in the mid-70s but a possible function has only recently been suggested. Two independent studies have found that 7SK RNA binds the CDK9/cyclin T complex (known as elongation factor P-TEFb). The record is from Ensembl. Lineage: Eukaryota; Metazoa; Chordata; Mammalia; Lagomorpha; Ochotonidae.